GCCAGGCGUGGUGGCGCAUGCCUGAAAUCCCAACGGCUCAGGAGGCUGAGGCAGGAGAAUUGUUGAGUUCAAAGCCAGCCUCAGCAAUUUAGCAAGAUCCUCAGGAACUUAAUGAGACCCUGCCUAAG
Molecule: small RNA, 128 nt
Filed under: Marmota monax (woodchuck)
Lineage: Eukaryota; Metazoa; Chordata; Mammalia; Rodentia; Sciuridae
Source: RNAcentral